ACCCUCCGGUGCCGCAGCAAACGCAUUAAGUAAUCCACCUGGGGAGUACGUACGCAAGAAUGAAACUCAAAGGAAUUGACGUGGACCCGCACAAGCGGUGGAGCAUGUGGUUUAAUCCGAAGCAACGAGAAGAACCUUACCAAGUCUUGUACAUCCUGGAUGACAGGGACGUAACGGUCCCCUUACUUCCGUACAUCCAAGACAGGUGGUGCAUGGUUGUCGUCAGCUCGUGUCGUGAGAUGAUGGGUUAAGUCCCGCACCGAGCGCAACCAAUUCUCUUUAGUUGCCAGUGGGCAGGGCCGGGCACUCUAGGGAGACUGCCGGGGAUAACCCGGACGAAGGCUGGCGAGGAUGUAAAAUCAUCAUGCCCCUUAUGAUCUUGGGGUACACAGGUGAUACAAUGGCGUAAACUGUGGGAAGCGAACCCGCGAGGGGGAGCAAAUCCCAAAAAUAACGUCCCAGUUGGGAUGGUAGCCUGCAACC
RNAcentral lists this ribosomal RNA (483 nucleotides) under uncultured bacterium. RNAcentral describes it as "bacterial SSU rRNA". It matches the Rfam family "Bacterial small subunit ribosomal RNA", at positions 835 to 1312 of the family's 1533-position model. The record is from RNAcentral.